UCUGUUUCCUCGGCGAGCUUGCUCGCCAAUGGGGACCAACCUAAACACUUUUGUAGUUGUAGUUGUACUGUCAGUAAACAAACCUUUAAAACUUUCAACAACGGAUCUCUUGGUUCUGGCAUCGAUGAAGAACGCAGCGAAAUGCGAUAAGUAGUGUGAAUUGCAGAAUUCAGUGAAUCAUCGAAUCUUUGAACGCACAUUGCGCCCUUUGGUAUUCCUUAGGGCAUGCCUGUUCGAGCGUCAUUUAAACCCUCAAGCUCUGCUUGGUGUUGGGCGCCUGUCCCGCCUCUGGCGUGGACUCGCCUCGAAGAUAUUGGCGGUUGUUGCAUUGACCGGAUGCGCAGUAAAAACGCGCUGGUACUGGCUUGAUGCCUUCCUCCAGGAAGCUAAACCUCUCAUCUUGACCUCGGAUCAGGU
Molecule: ribosomal RNA, 417 nt
Filed under: uncultured fungus
Lineage: Eukaryota; Fungi
Description: eukaryotic LSU rRNA
Rfam family: 5.8S ribosomal RNA (bases 90-243)
Source: RNAcentral